RNAcentral lists this ribosomal RNA (460 nucleotides) under uncultured bacterium. RNAcentral describes it as "partial 16S ribosomal RNA". It matches the Rfam family "Bacterial small subunit ribosomal RNA", at positions 338 to 795 of the family's 1533-position model. The record is from RNAcentral.
CCUACGGGAGGCUGCAGUGAGGAAUAUUGGUCAAUGGACGAGAGUCUGAACCAGCCAAGUAGCGUGGAGGAUGACUGCCCUAAGGGUUGUAAACUUCUUUUAUAUGGGAAUAAAAUGUUCCACGUGUGGGAUUUUGUAUGUACCAUAUGAAUAAGGAUCGGCUAACUCCGUGCCAGCAGCCGCGGUAAUACGGAGGAUCCGAGCGUUAUCCGGAUUGAUGGGGUUUAAAGGGAGCGUAGGUGGAUUGUUAAGUCAGUUGUGAAAGUUUGCGGCUCAACCGUAAAAUUGCAGUUGAAACUGGCAGUCUUGAGUACAGUAGAGGUGGGCGGAAUGCGUGGUGUAGCGGUGAAAUGCUUAGAUAUCACGAAGAACUCCGAUUGCGAAGGCAGUUCACUGGACUGCAACUGACACUGAGGCUCGAAAGUGUGGGUAUCAAACAGGAUUAGAUACCCGUGUAGUC